Molecule: unclassified non-coding RNA, 1649 nt
Filed under: Myxacorys almedinensis SVC5A
Lineage: Bacteria; Bacillati; Cyanobacteriota; Cyanophyceae; Leptolyngbyales; Leptolyngbyaceae
Description: bacterial SSU rRNA
Rfam family: Bacterial small subunit ribosomal RNA (bases 1-1093)
Source: RNAcentral
AACCUCUUUUAUCAGGGAAGAAGAACUGACGGUACCUGAUGAAUCAGCAUCGGCUAACUCCGUGCCAGCAGCCGCGGUAAUACGGAGGAUGCAAGCGUUAUCCGGAAUUAUUGGGCGUAAAGCGUCCGUAGGUGGUUUUACAAGUCUGCUGUCAAAGCGUGGAGCUCAACUCCAUACCGGCAGUGGAAACUGUGAGACUAGAGUGCGAUAGGGGUGACGGGAAUUCCCAGUGUAGCGGUGAAAUGCGUAGAGAUUGGGAAGAACACCAGCGGCGAAAGCGCGUCACUGGGUCUGCACUGACACUGAGGGACGAAAGCUAGGGGAGCGAAAGGGAUUAGAUACCCCUGUAGUCCUAGCUGUAAACGAUGGAUACUAGGUGUGGUUCGUAUCGACCCGAGCCGUGCCGGAGCUAACGCGUUAAGUAUCCCGCCUGGGGAGUACGCACGCAAGUGUGAAACUCAAAGGAAUUGACGGGGGCCCGCACAAGCGGUGGAGUAUGUGGUUUAAUUCGAUGCAACGCGAAGAACCUUACCAAGGCUUGACAUGUCUGGAACCCUUUUGAAAGAGAGGGGUGCCUUCGGGAACCAGAACACAGGUGGUGCAUGGCUGUCGUCAGCUCGUGUCGUGAGAUGUUGGGUUAAGUCCCGCAACGAGCGCAACCCACGUUUUUAGUUGCCAUCAGGUAAAGCUGGGCACUCUAGAGAGACUGCCGGUGACAAACCGGAGGAAGGUGUGGAUGACGUCAAGUCAGCAUGCCCCUUACGCCUUGGGCUACACACGUACUACAAUGCUACGGACAGAGGGACGCCAACCCGCGAGGGUGCGCAAAUCUCGUAAACCGUGGCACAGUUCAGAUUGCAGGCUGCAACUCGCCUGCAUGAAGGCGGAAUCGCUAGUAAUCGCCGGUCAGCAUACGGCGGUGAAUACGUUCCCGGGCCUUGUACACACCGCCCGUCACACCAUGGGAGUUGGUCAUGCCCGAAGUCGUUACUCCAACCGUUCGCGGAGGGGGACGCCGAAGGUGGGGCUGAUGACUGGGGUGAAGUCGUAACAAGGUAGCCGUACCGGAAGGUGUGGCUGGAUCACCUCCUUUUAGGGAGACCUACCCCUUGGCAACGUCGUCUAGAGGAGUGGGAAGCAGUCUGUUUUUCCACUUUUAAGGCAAAGUGCCAAGCUGGUCACUCAAGGUCGAUCAAAGAUUAAGUGUUGGCUUCUAAACUAGUUGGGUUCGGGUUAUGGGCUAUUAGCUCAGGUGGUUAGAGCGCACCCCUGAUAAGGGUGAGGUCCCUGGUUCGAGUCCAGGAUGGCCCACCUUACAUAUUUGGGGGUUUAGCUCAGUUGGUAGAGCGCCUGCUUUGCAAGCAGGAUGUCAGCGGUUCGAGUCCGCUAACCUCCACUGAGCGCAGCCGUUUUAGUUGAAGGCUUCAACUGAGGUCAAGGUUUGCCCAGCCUCGAUUGUUUGCGUGAUGGAUAGAUUCAGCAACAGCAUUAGCAUGACUAAUCUGACUGCUGGGUUCAAUCCAGCAAGAACCAUGAAAACUGCAUAGAGAAAAGCAAAGAAGUCAGGUAGAAGUUUAUUGUUCUGCUCUGCUAGGCAGGGAGAAUUCCUGUGCAUAGCCAUAGUGGGCAAUAACGCUUCAUAGACACCA